This is a long non-coding RNA of Lycium barbarum (goji berry), 4506 nucleotides long. RefSeq lists it as uncharacterized. The transcript is spliced from 2 exons. Lineage: Eukaryota; Viridiplantae; Streptophyta; Magnoliopsida; Solanales; Solanaceae. The record is from RefSeq and is a predicted model, not a curated record.
UCUCUUUCUUUUCCUUUUAUUUUUGUUCUAAUUAAGUUUUCCAUGGCUGUUUUGUUUGCCUUAUUUCAGUUUGUUGGAAUGUUGUUAUGCCUAAAUUAAUUAAGGUUUAAUUUUUCCCCCUCUACGAGCUUUAUUAAAUCAUGAAGCAUGAUCUGCAAAGUAGCUAAAUACAACUCUUUUAUCUUAGCAUUUUUAUAGGUGUAAGUGAAUCAUUGAUUUUCAUGUGUGAUUGAGUUUGGUUUGACUUAAGUUAAGUUGGAGACUCUGCUCUUUUAUAGAACAUGAGUUAGCAUCCCCUAUUGGUCUUGUAAGAAAAGCACUCAAGAAUAGUAACUCUAGAAUGUUUCAUAAUAAGUUCGGAAUGAAACAUACAACAACAACAACAUACCAGUGUAAUCUUACAAGUGGGGUCUGAGAAGGGUAAGAUGUACGCAGACCUUACCUCUACCUUUGUGGGCCAGAGAGGUUGUUUUUAAAAGACCCUCGGCUCGAAAGGAUAGAAAAUUAAAGAAAAAGGAAUUUGACACAGACAUUAAAAAAACUCAUAAAAUGUAUAAAGGAAAAUGACAGCAAAUGAGCAUAGUUACAUUUUAUGUAACAUAGUUACUUAAAAAGUGUUGUAACUUAAGAAAAAUAGUACUCCCCCCGUCACAUUUUAUGUCAAGGUGUUACAGUUUUGAGAGUCAAGCAAUUAUUUCUUUAACGACAAUUUUCUAAAACUUUUUAAAACUAUUUUGAAUAGUAUGUUAUCUUGUAGUACUUUUCAUGUAGUUUUCGACUAUGUAAAUUUUAUUGUUAAAAGUUGAAGAAUUUGUACCAGAAUUCAUAGUCAAAAUUUAGUAUUUUGACCACCGUACUACGAACACCUCCACAUAAAUGGGCACAGAUGGAUAGUAAUUUUACUAAACGAGUUGCUAUGUAUUAUUUCAGCUAGACAAUAAAUAUAUUUGUAUUUCUCGUUAUUCUCUACUUUUGAUACCCUUUCUCAGUGAAUUGGCUACAAUGAAGGGAGAAUAGCUGUAGAGCUCGAUCAGAUUAAAAUUGGAUGUUCUAAUAUAUAAUACAUGAAAAAUGGAGCAUGUUAUUAAUUCAGGUUUUCCUUUUAAUAGUUCUCUGGUAAUUGUUGAAGUGAUCGAUAAAUCGAUAAUUAGUUAAAGAUUUGAUUGGAAACUCAUAUUUUCAGAAUCUGUAUGUAGUUAAAGCAUAUUAUUAGGGGCAGAGCUAGGAUUGAAACUACGGGUUUGAUAGAACUCAAUAACUUUGGUUCAAACCUUGUAUAUUUGUUAAGAAGUCAAUUGAAUAACAUAUAAUAAACUUCAUAGUCCAUAAACGUCAGAUGCAGAGCCAAUAAACUCAAAUACUAAAUUUGCCUCUGUUAUGUUCUAAAGCUUUCCAAAUAAAAAAAAAAGAUGUAAAAGUUUUUAUUAAACUUACCUAUAUAAGUUGAUUAGGUUGGAUUUGCAUAUUGGAUGAUAAAAGUAAAGAAAAGAGAUUACAUCAUUUGCAAGCCAUUAAAUUUUGGUCAGAAUAUUUAUCAUUGGCUUUGCUAUAAAAUCCCUAAAUCAUGAACACUUUUGUUCAUCAAUCAUUGAAUAUACUUUGCAUUCAUAGAGAGAAGAAGAGUUCAUAUAAGUAAUCAAGUAAGAUAGGAAAUGAGAAUUGUGUUUGAUACGAAGAAAAUACCAAAUGUGUGUUCACUGUUUUCUUUUCUAUUCGUAACUUUGAUUCAUGAACUUGAAUUUGAGCAAUAAAAAAAAUCUGAUUUUCAAUUUUCCCAUAUUUGGUUAGUCAAAUUAUUUUAAAAGCAUUUUGUCUAAAAAUAAUGUUCCUUAAAAAUCAGAAAAAUAACUUUCCAUGUGAGAAUAGGAAAAACAAAAUUGGUAAAGAAAAGAGAUCCUUACCAAUUAUCUGGGUGACUCAUUGAGUGACAAAACUUAUUCUUCAGUAAUUCCUAUUUUUUGUAGUGCAAGAAAAAGUCGAUGGUGCCGAAUCAUAAAUCUGUUGCAUCAUCGGUUCAUAAAUAUUGAAUAAACGAAUCACCAAGUUGUUUUUGUUAAAUAAAUUCAAUAGCUCCAUAUAACUCUUGGAAUUUAUAUAUAUAUAUAUAUAUAAUUUUGCAUAAAAUUUUCCUUCUGUACGAUCAUUCCUUGCCCUUUCUUUUGGUGAUUCUGCCACAUGGUUUCCUUAUGUGAUCACAAUAGCCAUUGUGCAAAAGUUUAGUUGUCAAAGCAUUCUUGAAAUUGAUAUUGAUAAGCAAGAAUUUAGGAUGCCUAUUGUUACAUCCCGCGUUUUCAUGCGUUGGAAAGCGUGCAAGUUAAAUGACACUGGUAAAGGAAAUGAGGUUAUCCUCCCAAGCUUAUAGAUGGUUGUAUUGAUGGUACAAAUGUGUUAUAAAUAUUAGAAGUUAAACAAAUCUAAGAAAAUAAGUUUCGUCGAGGUUCGAAAUUUAUUUAAAUGAAAUACAGUCCAAGCUAUAAUAUCCUGUAUUUUUGGACUAGGAAAUUGAACCGUCCAACAUGAGCAAAUUUUACCGACUGUAAGAUUUGGUCAUAGUCAAACAUGAAAAUAAAAGAAUUCGGUGUAUACGAGAAAUGAAGUCCCGAAAUGAUUUAAGAUGGAAAAGUGUGUCGACGAUGACUGGAAAUAAUAUUUUAUGUGUGGCAAAUGAGGCUAUGGACUAGGACCAUAUCACAUGACCAUAAUAAUGAAGUGAGUUAGAGGUGGGUAAUAUUUAAGUGAAUUGAGAUCAAACAUUAUUUAUAUCGGUAAUUAGUCAAUGUUAUGAGAUAGUGGAAAUUAAAAACAUUUAGGUAAUGUUUAGGGGACAAUAUGUCCACGUGGGUCCCAUGUGGGGAAAGAUCAUCUUUAUGUGUAAUUAUAAGUAUAGAUAAAUGUGGCUUUUUGGGCUGUCAACGUGGAGUGACCUUGUUAAAUUAUAGUGACUAAUUAAUCAAAUGAGUAGCUAAUGAAGUGGUAGCAGUCCACGUGUUUCUUUAGUGGAUUCAAGCAGACCAAAUACGUCCAGCUUGUUCAUUUCUCACUUGGAGUUCAUUUAGUAACUUUUGGGAUUCAUUUUGGAAGCAAAAAAAAAAGUAAGCAACAUUUUUCUUUGAAGAUUCAUUAUGAAGAGGCAAACAAACGUUCAGCAACCAUUUGAUUUAACCAUGGGGAACAAUUCAUUUGAUGGAAGCAAAGGCAGCAACCUCACGUCCCAUUUCAGUUAAGUUAUGGUAGUCUCUUGGUUGUAGUAAGCUCAUGAUAGAACGGACUGGGUACAGUUGUUCAAGACUAAGGUGGAAGAAGAUUAAAUCUUGGCACAUAAGAUUGGUGAAGCCCGAGACCUAAGUUAUGGUUAACUUAAGAAGCGGACAAGGUAUGUGAAGCUAUCCCUUCCUUCUUUUUGGCAUAGUCUUUGUGAAACAAACAGACAACGAGCAUAUAACUCCAAAGAAGCUCCUAUUCUUAGAGACACUAGGAUGGCUAAUGUUCUUGAUUCCCAGAACUUAUUUUAUUAUGUAUUGAUACGUGUCUAUGAUUCCAGCCGUCCUAUUUUGAUAUAAUCCAUACUGACACUCGAAGGGUACUUGAUAUGACUAUUGUUUUGAUUUUCAAAUGAUAAUUCAUUUUGAUUAUUCUAUUGAGUCUCAGAUAUGACUUAGUUUGCAUAUGGUUGCUCACUACUCUGCUCAUGCAUGCCGUAAUGUAUCUUUCACCGAGUCCCGGGCCGGGUAUGUUUUCGUGCACAGUUUCACUGCAUUGUUCACCGAGUCCCUCACUAGAGGGUCGGGUACGGUAUAUAUAUAUAUGAUGAUAUGAUGAUGGCACCGAGACCCUUGAUGGGCCGAGCAUGGUAUACAUGUAUAUGACUUUAUUCACCGAGUCCAUAAUGGGCCGGAUAUGGUAGAUGAUAUAGCUAUGCAUGAUUUUCAUUUCACAAGGCACAGGUACAGUGAUUUCUUAUUGUCAUACUUGUCUCCGGAAAUCUCUAUUUCAGUCAUGAACCUCUUUAUUGCAUUUCAUGCUUUAUAUGCUCAGUAGAUAUCUCGUACUGAGCCCUUUCCUUCGGGGGGCUGCGUUUCAUGCCCGCAGGUACAAACACUCAGUCCGGUGAUCCUCCAGCUUAGGACUUCUGCUCAGCUGUUUGGAGAGCUCCAUUGUCCGGAGCCUAGAUAUUUUGGUACAGAUCUUCUGAUAUAGACUUAUAUAUAUUCAGGGGUACGGCGGGGCCCUGUCCCGUCAUAUUUCACCCUUAUAACUCUUAGGUCUGUAGACAUGUGUGGGUUGUAUAUAAGUUUUGGUCAGCCGUGUCUAUAUGGUUUGCUUUGGAUAUCCCUGUGUAUAGUGGCAGCCUUGUCGGCUUGCGUAUCGUGUUAUUGUUAUGCUUUGGAUAUCCCCGUGUAUAGUGGCAGCCUUGUCGGUUUGCAUAUUGUGUUAUUGUAUGCUGUGACUCCUCAGGAGACAGGUUUAUGAUAUGCGGUGUUGCGAACCCUUCGUUUAUUUUUACAA